This is an RNA transcript of Nicotiana tabacum (common tobacco), 2954 nucleotides long. It is a transcript of the gene named putative potassium transporter 17, with no coding region annotated. NCBI's taxonomy places the organism in Eukaryota, Viridiplantae, Streptophyta, Magnoliopsida, Solanales, Solanaceae. The record is from RefSeq and is a predicted model, not a curated record.
CUAGAAAGACUUUAGGAAGUUCCUAUAGACUAUUACUAUUUGCACGAAAUCUUCCGUUUAUAAAUCCCACACUCCCCCUCACCCCACUCCGCUGCUUUUUUUCUGCUAACUUAAAAGGGGCCAUGGAUCGGCAAACAGGAAGGCAUGACUCGGCGGCGACUCAGUCGGAUGCAACGGUUGUGGUAUCGGUGCAUGACGGUGACACCAUUAACAAUUGUCAUGACCAAAAGGACACUGGGCGAUGGGGGAACCUGGUCCUUGCAUACAAGACCCUAGGAGUUGUUUUUGGGGGUCUUGUCACAUCUCCACUUUAUGUAUAUCCAUCAAUGCCUUUAAAGUCUCCAACUGAGGAUGAUUAUUUGGGGAUCUACAGCAUAAUGUUUUGGACGCUCAGUCUAAUUGGUGUUGUCAAAUACGCUACCAUAGCUCUCAGAGCUGAUGAUCAGGGCGAAGGUGGAACAUUUGCUCUUUAUUCGUUACUCUGCAGGAAUAUAAAUAUUGGGAUUCUUUCUUCAAAGAGUGCCAGUUUGAGUUCUAGCCAUUCCUAUGUUAACCAAUCAAAAAAGCCAAGUAAGCUGGGUAAAUUUUGUGAGAGGAGUUUGAUUGCCAGAAGGGUACUGCUUUUCAUUGCAAUGUUGGGUAUGUGUAUGCUAAUCGGUGAUGGCAUACUUACACCUGCCAUCUCAGUGUUGUCUGCAAUGGAUGGCUUAAGAGCACGUUUUCCCUCAGUCGGUAAAUCGUUGGUUGAAGCUCUUUCAGCAAUCGUUCUCAUUGUUCUAUUCCUCAUGCAGAAGUUUGGUACUUCACGAGUGAGUUUCCUGUUCUCUCCUAUCAUGGGUGCAUGGACUCUUACCACUCCUCUCGUUGGGAUAUACAGUAUCCUUAAGCAUUAUCCUAGCAUAUUCAAGGCAAUAUCACCCCAUUACAUAGUCCACUUCUUCUUAAGAAAUGGAAAGCAAGGAUGGAUAUAUCUUGGUGGUACUGUCCUCUGCAUUACUGGCUCUGAAGCAAUGUUUGCUGACCUUGGUCAUUUCAACAGGAGUUCAAUUCGGAUAGCGUUUCUCUUUACUAUAUAUCCAUCACUAGUGCUGACAUAUGCGGGCCAGACAGCAUAUCUGAUCAGAAAUCCCAAUGACCAUUUUGAUGGAUUUUACAAGUUUAUACCAUCUGCUGUGUACUGGCCAAUUUUUGUUAUAGCUACAUUAGCUGCAAUAGUUGCAAGUCAGUCACUGAUUUCAGCCACCUUUUCUGUUAUUAAGCAAUCAGUUGUGUUGGAUUAUUUUCCUCGGGUGAAGGUAGUUCACACAUCCUCCAGCAAAGAAGGUGAGGUUUACUCACCAGAAGUUAACUACAUCCUCAUGAUUCUCUGUGUUGCAGUCAUACUAAUUUUUGGAGAUGGACAAGACAUCGGAAAUGCCUUUGGUGUCGUUGUUAGCAUGGUUAUGCUUAUAACCACUAUAUUGCUGUCAUUGGUUAUGAUCAUUAUUUGGAGAACUCCACUUGCUUUGGUGGCGCUCUACUUCAUUGUGUUUUUUGUGAUGGAAAGUGUAUAUGUUAGUGCAAUCUUCACAAAAAUUCCAGAAGGUGGUUGGAUUCCUUUUGCCAUCUCUCUCAUCCUUGCUUUCAUUAUGUUUGGCUGGUUCUAUGGUAGGCAGAGAAAACUCGAGUAUGAAUUAACACACAAAAUAGACUCGGAGAGAUUAAGGACAAUGCUAAUGGAUCCAGGUCUUCAGAGAGUUCCCGGACUCUGCUUCUUCUAUACAAAUAUCCAAGAUGGUUUAACACCAAUUUUAGGUCAUUACAUAAAGAACAUGAGAUCUCUUCACAAAGUUACUGUAUUUACAACUCUUAGGUACUUGCUGGUUCCCAAAGUAGCAGCAGGUGAAAGGAUAGUUGUGAGCAAGUUAGGUCUCAAAGGGGUUUAUAGAUGUGUGAUUCGGUAUGGUUAUGCGGAUAAGCUUAGUCUUGAAGGGGAUGAUUUAGUUAAUCAAGUUGUUGAAAGUUUACGGGCUCAUCUGCUUCAGCGCUCCAACCAUAAUUCGACGGAGGAAGAAGACGAAAUUUCCGAGUUGGAAGAGGCAAAGCUUGCUGGGGUGGUCCAUAUUCGUGGAAAGACGAGGUUUUAUAUUGGUAAGCAUUGUGGCUGGUUUGAUAGAACAAUGCUUGUUUUCUAUGAAGUUUUGCACAGCAAUUGCAGAUCUGCACUUCCUGCUUUGGGUGUGCCAUUACCUCAACGUAUCGAGGUUGGUAUGCUUUAUGAGGCUUGACUACAAGGCACUGAAAAAGUUCCAAGAAGGUUGAUCACAAACCAUAGCAGGUAGUUGCAAUUCUUCAGAACAAGGCGUCUUAGAUUUGGGAAGCUAUCACUGCUAGCUUCCCAACGCUCAAGAUGUAUGCCUUUAAAUAACAACUUCAAGCUUUGGAACUUGUCUUCAUCGCUCAAUCUCCAUACUUGAUCACCAGUGACUACAGCAACUUUAAGUUUGAGCUCUUCCAGAUUUGGCAACAUGACAAGAAUUGAUAUAUCGUCCCAAUGAAACCAAAAGCAGUGAGUUAAAGUCAACCUCUUAAGCGAUGUUGGGAAAACGAAACUCUUGAUGGAGUAGCAAACAAGUCCAUUGGCACACUUUAAUUCUUCGAGUUUUGUCAAGCUAGACAUAUCAAUGAGGCGAUUGGCUGAAGUUUUUACGCGAAUAAUCAAUUCUUUAGAUUGGGAGUCGCAGAAAAGACUUCAUUUGUACAACAGGAAGAAAAAGAGUUCAGAAAGUUCCUCUAGAUUUGGCAUCCCUAUCAUAAGUUGCUUGUUUAUAAUGCUUUCUCUUCUAGGAUGGUAAAUAAAUGGGGCCUCCGAGAUGUAUAUGCCUCAAGUUCUUCAUCAUCCAUACAUUCCCCGGUAAAGUUGUUUUACAAUAUAUGCCCCUAUGAGUAAUUAGAGUUUGCAAAUUUUGAAGCUC